Molecule: long non-coding RNA, 1233 nt
Organism: Hevea brasiliensis (rubber tree)
Lineage: Eukaryota; Viridiplantae; Streptophyta; Magnoliopsida; Malpighiales; Euphorbiaceae
Exons: 4
Source: RefSeq, a predicted model, not a curated record
AGUAUGUCACAAUCAUUAAAGGGCACAGAAGUUCCGUCUUGAUGCUCAAUUUGCAGCUUGGAAUCAGCUAUAUGCAAUUUUGCAACUGUAUUAUGUUCAUUGGUUCAAACUGGCUUAGUUAUCUGAACCCAUAUAUAGUCCCAGUUGUUCCUGGUAGUACAAAUUUGAAUUGUAGAAAGCUUAUGACUUUAGCUAAACGAUCCAAAUAUCCAAAUGCUUGAGAGUAGAGAUUCAGUUCACUUCUUGCAUCUUAUGCUAGGAAUCUGAAUAUCACAUCAGUUGUUAUUUGAUAUCCAUUAUGUUUUUCUGUGUAACAUCAGUGAUGAAUGCAUGCUAAAAUGUGAUCAGGUAUACCGUUGGACAAAUUGCACCUGUACAGAGGUGAGAAGCUUGCUUGUCAGAUUUUGGUCAAAGAGCAAGCUUUUGGAUGAAUUUUCCAAAAGAUUGAUCACAGUUAACCCCACCCCAUCAAUCUGAUGAUUUUAAGUGGAAACACUACCAUGCAAACAUCUUUAGGAAUUUGAAGGAGAAGUUCAAGAUAGAUGCUAUUGACCAUGUGACGUCCAUUUGUGGAAAUGGUUCUCUUAGGGAACUUUUCUCUCCUGGAAGAAGUGGUAGCAUCUUUUUCCUGUCUCAAGAUGAUUGCUUUAUGAUUAAGACGCUCCAGAAAUCUGAAGUGAAGUUUGUUAGAAGACAUAUUGACUGUCAAACAUGUCUUCCUCAUUUACCUCCUUUCUCUCUCUCUCUCUCUCUCUCUCUUUUGAGAGGGUGAAAUUAUGAAGGAAACUUUUAAGCUGGAGCUUGGUAAAGUAACUCCAUAGAUACCUUACAUGCACUGGUGAUGUUUCUGAGCGCUUGAGAACUGUUCUUGAUGCCACGCAACUUUGACCGCUUUAAUGGGUUUCCCAAGCCAUGGGAAGCAGCGACUGGCCGUUGCUCUCUGAUUUGCCCAUGCCCCGUGGAUAAGAUCUCUCUUUCUAUCUCACUCUCCCUAGCUGCUCGAAUGGAAAGGGCAGGGUCUGGGUGGCAUGAAGGACAAGGUGGUGUUGAUGCUUCUUACAUAGUUUGACUAUCCUACAAGAAGUGCUAGUUGUUGUAUGAUAAAUAUAUACAUAAAAAGAAAAGUAGUUCACUAAAGUAAAUCAAAGAAAUCUGUUUGCUAAAUUAAUUUUGUAAUAGAUUAGCAACAAUAAUUUUUCAUAAUUAUUAUGCCAUUGCUAAAUUAGUAAAGAA